This 253-nucleotide ribosomal RNA is filed under the name uncultured bacterium. RNAcentral's name for it is "partial 16S ribosomal RNA". It matches the Rfam family "Bacterial small subunit ribosomal RNA", at positions 524 to 776 of the family's 1533-position model. The record is from RNAcentral.
UACAGAGGGGGCAAGCGUUGUUCGGAAUUACUGGGCGUAAAGGGCGCGUAGGCGGCCUUCUAAGUCGAACGUGAAAUCCCCGGGCUCAACCCGGGAACUGCGUCCGAUACUGGAAGGCUUGAAUCCGGGAGAGGGAUGCGGAAUUCCAGGUGUAGCGGUGAAAUGCGUAGAUAUCUGGAGGAACACCGGUGGCGAAGGCGGCGUCCUGGACCAACACUGACACUGAGGAGCGAAAGCCAGGGGAGCGAACGGG